CGGAGGGUGCAAGCGUUAUCCGGAUUCACUGGGUUUAAAGGGUGUGUAGGCGGGCUGUUAAGUCAGUGGUGAAAUCUCCAGGCUCAACCUGGAAACUGCCAUUGAUACUAUCAGUCUUGAAUAUUGUUGAGGUAGGCGGAAUAAGUCAUGUAGCGGUGAAAUGCAUAGAUAUGACUUAGAACACCAAUUGCGAAGGCAGCUUACUAAACAAUUAUUGACGCUGAGGCACGAAAGCGUGGGGAUCAAACAGGAUUAGAUACCCUGGUAGUCCACACUGUAAACGAUGAUUACUCGAUGUUGGCGAUACACAGCCAGCGUCUUAGCGAAAGCGAUAAGUAAUCCACCUGGGGAGUACGCCGGCAACGGUG
This 368-nucleotide ribosomal RNA is filed under the name uncultured organism. RNAcentral describes it as "bacterial SSU rRNA". It matches the Rfam family "Bacterial small subunit ribosomal RNA", at positions 526 to 896 of the family's 1533-position model. The record is from RNAcentral.